This is a non-coding RNA of Bos taurus (domestic cattle), 72 nucleotides long. Lineage: Eukaryota; Metazoa; Chordata; Mammalia; Artiodactyla; Bovidae. The record is from Rfam.
UUCCUGGUGGUCCAGUGGUUAGGACUCUGUGCUUCGAAUACAAGGGGCCUGGUUCAAUCCCUGGUCAGGGAA